This 1164-nucleotide ribosomal RNA is filed under the name Triticum aestivum (bread wheat). Its description in RNAcentral is "partial small subunit ribosomal RNA". Lineage: Eukaryota; Viridiplantae; Streptophyta; Magnoliopsida; Poales; Poaceae. The record is from RNAcentral.
AUGGUGGGUAUGGGUAUGGGUUCCACAAAGCAUGGCGUUGUGUGGUGCGCCGGCCUGCUCGUCGCCGGGCUUCUCCUCGUGGCGGCUGAGGCAGAUUUAUGCUCCAAGGACUGCCAUGGCAAGACCCAUUUCUUGGGCUGCGUCGGUCGGUGCAGAUCUCAGCUUGAGGUUGCACGGCCGACGAACUGCAUCGCCCUCUGCCAUGGCAAGCCGAGCUUCAUUGCCUGCUGCAAUGGCUACCGGUAUGCCCGACGAGCGCCCAUGCAACUGCGUUGGCCCGGUGGGGAAUCCACAAGGCAUGAAGAAGAAGCAGGCGGAGGAGCAGUUGGUGUCCUGAAGGCGCCGGCCCCGGCGCCGUGUGAAGUGGUCUGCCGUGACCGGGUGGGCUGGGUGGAGUACGAGCGCUGCCUCGAUCGCUGCCGAUGGGGAGCGUUUGUCCAACGAGCGCUGCUUCUUCAUCUUAAGCUUACCGGCAGGGAAUCGGCGACACAUGAAGAAGCAAGAGGAGGAGGAGGAGCAGUUGAUGUUCUCGCGGCGGCGCUGUCGUCCUUCUGCGGCGACUACUGCCGAGCGGAAGAACCCAACGUCGACUACAGGUACUGCGUCCGCCGGUGUGAGUUUGGACCCAGGCGGGCCUCCUCCAUUGCCGGCGGGGAACCAAAGGCACAACAAGAAGAAGGAGAAGGAAGCGGAGGAGGAGCGGUUGAUGUCCCUCAGGCAGCGGCGGUAGCGGCGGCGGCGCAGGUGCAACACCAUGAGGCUGUCACAGGAGCACAGGCGAUGAAAAACACCGACCCGUGCGAUGACUACUGCAUGGAGCAAACUCGUUACUUUCCCAGGCCCGGACAGUUCUUCGAUUGCGUCGAGGAGUGCCACGCUGGUCAUGGCCGGCUCGCCUAUGACUACGGGAAUGGGAUCCAGCCGGCUGCGGUGGCGCAACAUGAGGCUGCUGCAGGAGCGCAGCCGGCGAAUACCGACCCGUGCGAGCCCUACUGCGAAUGGCAUGCUCGGGACUUCCCCGCGAAGUACACAGCCUGUGUGCGCCAGUGCCAGUCCGGUGGGCACCCUGGCGACGUCGGGAACAGGAUCAAGCAGGAACAGCGCAAGAAGCACGACGACAUCCAUCUUCGCCGUGGCACCGGUAGCAAGAUUGCCGUCGAAUAG